Molecule: ribosomal RNA, 329 nt
Filed under: uncultured eukaryote
Lineage: Eukaryota
Description: partial 18S ribosomal RNA
Rfam family: Eukaryotic small subunit ribosomal RNA
Source: RNAcentral
CCCUUAGAUGUUCUGGGCCGCACGCGCGCUACACUGACGAUGGCAACGAGUUUUUUCUUCGCCGAAAGGUGUGGGUAAUCUUUUGAAACAUCGUCGUGCUGGGGAUAGAUCAUUGCAAUUUUUGAUCUUGAACGAGGAAUUCCUAGUAAGCGCGAGUCAUCAGCUCGCGUUGAUUACGUCCCUGCCCUUUGUACACACCGCCCGUCGCUACUACCGAUUGAAUGGUUUAGUGAGGACUCCUGAUUGGCGCCGCCGCCCCGGCAACGGAGCAGCGGACUGCCGAAAAGUUGUUCAAACUUGAUCAUUUAGAGGAAGUAAAAGUCGUAACA